AUUGAACGCUGGCGGAAUGCUUUACACAUGCAAGUCGAACGGCAGCACGGGGCAACCUGGUGGCGAGUGGCGAACGGGUGAGUAAUACAUCGGAACGUGCCCAGUCGUGGGGGAUAACGUAGCGAAAGUUACGCUAAUACCGCAUACGAUCUAUGGAUGAAAGCGGGGGAUCGCAAGACCUCGCGCGAUUGGAGCGGCCGAUGUCAGAUUAGGUAGUUGGUGGGGUAAAGGCCUACCAAGCCGACGAUCUGUAGCUGGUCUGAGAGGACGACCAGCCACACUGGGACUGAGACACGGCCCAGACUCCUACGGGAGGCAGCAGUGGGGAAUUUUGGACAAUGGGCGCAAGCCUGAUCCAGCCAUUCCGCGUGCAGGAUGAAGGCCUU
RNAcentral lists this ribosomal RNA (386 nucleotides) under uncultured bacterium. RNAcentral's name for it is "bacterial SSU rRNA". It matches the Rfam family "Bacterial small subunit ribosomal RNA", at positions 30 to 418 of the family's 1533-position model. The record is from RNAcentral.